CAAUAAGCGGAGGAAAAGAAACUAACAAGGAUUCCCCUAGUAACUGCGAGUGAAGCGGGAAAAGCUCAAAUUUAAAAUCUGGCGGUCUCCGGCCGUCCGAGUUGUAAUCUAGAGAAGUGUUAUCCGCGCUGGACCGUGUACAAGUCUCCUGGAAUGGAGCGUCAUAGAGGGUGAGAAUCCCGUCUUUGACACGGACUGCCAGGGCUUUGUGAUGCGCUCUCAAAGAGUCGAGUUGUUUGGGAAUGCAGCUCAAAAUGGGUGGUAAAUUCCAUCUAAAGCUAAAUAUUGGCGAGAGACCGAUAGCGAACAAGUACCGUGAGGGAAAGAUGAAAAGAACUUUGGAAAGAGAGUUAAACAGUACGUGAAAUUGCUGAAAGGGAAACGCUUGAAGUCAGUCGCGUUGGCCGGGGAUCAACCUUGCUUUUGCUGGGCGUACUUUCCGGUCGACGGGUCAGCAUCAAUUUUGACCGUUGGAUAAAGUUCAGGGGAAUGUGGCAUCUUCGGAUGUGUUAUAGCCCUUGGUCGCAUACAACGAUUGGGAUUGAGGAACUCAGCACGCCGCAAGGCCGGGUACUUGUACCACGUUCGUGCUUAGGAUGCUGGCAUAAUGGCUUUAAUCGACCCGUCUUGAAACACGGACCAAGGAGUCUAACAUGCCUGCGAGUGUUUGGGUGGAAAACCCGGGCGCGUAAUGAAAGUGAAAGUUGAGAUCCCUGUCGCGGGGAGCAUCGACGCCCGGACCAGACCUUUUGUGACGGAUCCGCGGUAGAGCAUGUAUGUUGGGACCCGAAAGAUGGUGAACUAUGCCUGAAUAGGGUGAAGCCAGAGGAAACUCUGGUGGAGGCUCGUAGCGAUUCUGACGUGCAAAUCGAUCGUCAAAUUUGGGUAUAGGGGCGAAAGACUAAUCGAACCAUCUAGUAGCUGGUUCCUGC
This 932-nucleotide non-coding RNA is filed under the name Alnicola luteolofibrillosa. RNAcentral's name for it is "LSU rRNA". It matches the Rfam family "Eukaryotic large subunit ribosomal RNA", at positions 44 to 961 of the family's 3401-position model. Lineage: Eukaryota; Fungi; Basidiomycota; Agaricomycetes; Agaricales; Hymenogastraceae. RNAcentral also lists the same sequence under 6 other names. The record is from RNAcentral.